RNAcentral lists this ribosomal RNA (374 nucleotides) under uncultured organism. RNAcentral describes it as "bacterial SSU rRNA". It matches the Rfam family "Bacterial small subunit ribosomal RNA", at positions 526 to 896 of the family's 1533-position model. The record is from RNAcentral.
CGUAGGGACCAAGCGUUGUUCGGAUUUACUGGGCGUAAAGGGCGCGUAGGCGGCAAAUUAAGUCAUCUGUGAAAUCUCCGAGCUUCACUCGGAACGGUCAGGUGAUACUGAUCUGCUAGAGUGCGGAAGGGGCAAUCGGAAUUCUUGGUGUAGCGGUGAAAUGCGUAGAUAUCAAGAGGAACACCUGAGGUGAAGACGGGUUGCUGGGCCGACACUGACGCUGACAGCGCGAAAGCCAGGGGAGCAAACGGGAUUAGAUACCCCGGUAGUCCUGGCCUUAAACGAUGAAUACUUGGUGUCUGGAGUCUCUAUAGCUCCGGGUGCCGUCGCUAACGUUUUUAGUAUUCCGCCUGGGGAGUACGCACGCAAGUGUG